RNAcentral lists this long non-coding RNA (1223 nucleotides) under Callithrix jacchus (white-tufted-ear marmoset). RNAcentral describes it as "lncRNA (ENSCJAG00000076806.1)". The record is from RNAcentral. Lineage: Eukaryota; Metazoa; Chordata; Mammalia; Primates; Cebidae.
UUUUGAGACGGAGUUUCACUCUUGUUACCCAGGCUGGUGUGCAAUGGCGCGAUCUCAGCUCACCGCAACCUCCGGCUCCUGGGUUCAGGCAAUUCUCCUGCCUCAGCCUCCUGAGUAGCUGGGAUUACAGGCACGCACCACCAUGCCCAGCUAAUUUUUUGUAUUUUUAGUAGAGACGGGGUUUCACCAUGUUGACCAGGAUGGUCUUGAUCUCUUGACCUCGUGAUCCACCUGCCUCGGCCUCCCAAAGUGCUGGGAUUACAGGCUUGAGCCACCGUGCCCGGCCCUCAACACUUUCUUUUAUAUCUCCAUUUUGCAGAAGAGGAAAGCUGGGCUCCUAGGAUGUGGCGCUCACUCCUUUCACCACCCGGCUGGAGGCUUCGGUUUUCCAGCUUGCAGCUUGGGGUGGAAGCCUCUGAGUGCCCUGGUUCCAGGAUGCACCUCUCCUUCUGUAUUUGCCAUUUGAGAGCGCCUUGUAGGAGCCACGACCCAAUGUUAACAGGUUAAUGCCAAACGCAGAGAAAGAUUUUGUUCCUUCCUAUUCUACAUGAAAGGAAUACGAGUCUUCAGAGAGGUUAAGUGACUUCCUCAGCGUCUCGCAGUCAGUCGGUGGCAGAGCCCGGGUGUACAGUGCCUGCUUGUUAGGACCAAAAGCUGGACACGGCUGGAUUCACCCCUGGUGGCCAAGCUGGGAAGAGGCAUUUAGGGGUCCUUGUGCAGCCUCGUGGCCCCUCCCACUAGGUCCUAGAGCCACAUUCCUUGAGGGGAGGCAGGAUUCUAGCAUCGCCCGGUGCCUUCAACAGGAACCCUUAGCCGGGUUUGGGGUGCGGUGUGGCCUGUGGGGCGAGGUGGAGCGGGGCGGAGACGGACUCAGUCUUCGCAACUCCAUUUGCAUACGGAGGCGACUCGCUUCCUUCCCGCCCCUCCGCCUCGCUCUUCCCUCCUUCUCCCGUCCUUUCCACUCUGCGUCUUCUGUCCCCCGUUCCUCCCCAGCGGACCCCUCCUUCGAGACUCCCUCGUGGGUUUCCCAGCUCCCGAGUGCUUUGCCCUUGCCGAGCGCGUUUUCUGGAGUCACCUGGGGGAGGGGAGUCCUGGGCAGGGCUGGGUUGGGGAGGACGCCUGGGGCACUGCCCGGCGCUAACAAAGCGAGCCGGUACCGACCGGCGUGGGCGUGGAGCGGGCGGAGCAACCGUAGCCUCCGCGGCCGAGAGUGCAGCGUGUGA